This 65-nucleotide transfer RNA is filed under the name Gondwanalimnadia sp. MT-2020. RNAcentral's name for it is "tRNA-Glu". Lineage: Eukaryota; Metazoa; Arthropoda; Branchiopoda; Diplostraca; Limnadiidae. The record is from RNAcentral.
GCUGCUAUAGUAAAAAUUACGUUACGUUUUCAUCGUAAAAUUAAGAUUAAAUAUCUUUAGUGGUA